RNAcentral lists this ribosomal RNA (247 nucleotides) under uncultured bacterium. RNAcentral's name for it is "partial 16S ribosomal RNA". It matches the Rfam family "Bacterial small subunit ribosomal RNA", at positions 523 to 769 of the family's 1533-position model. The record is from RNAcentral.
AUACGAAGGGGGCUAGCGUUGUUCGGAAUUACUGGGCGUAAAGCGCAUGUAGGCGGACAUUUAUGUCAGAUGUGAAAUUCCCGGGCUCAACCUGGGAAGUGCAUUUGAAACUGGGUAUCUAGAGUGCAGGAGAGGGAAGCGGAAUUCCUAGUGUAGAGGUGAAAUUCGUAGAUAUUCGGAGGAACACCAGUGGCGAAGGCGGCUUACUGGUCCAUUACUGACGCUGAGGUGCGAAAGCGUGGGGAGC